UCCGGCUUGACACCGGCAGUCCCUCUAGAGUGCCCAACUGAAUGCUGGCAACUAAAGGCGGGGGUUGCGCUCGUUGCGGGACUUAACCCAACAUCUCACGACACGAGCUGACGACAGCCAUGCACCACCUGUGAUCCUGCCCCGAAGGGAAGCCGUGUUUCCACGGCGGUCAGGAACAUGUCAAACCCAGGUAAGGUUCUUCGCGUUGCGUCGAAUUGAACCACAUGCUCCGCUGCUUGUGCGGGUCCCCGUCAAUUCCUUUGAGUUUUAGCCUUGCGGCCGUACUCCCCAGGCGGGGCACUUACUGCGUUAGCGACGGCACUCAGAGGGUCGCUCCCCCAAGCACCUAGUGCCCAUCGUUUACGGCGUGGACUAC
RNAcentral lists this unclassified non-coding RNA (376 nucleotides) under uncultured Actinomycetes bacterium. RNAcentral describes it as "uncultured actinobacterium contains 16S-23S intergenic spacer region". Lineage: Bacteria; Bacillati; Actinomycetota; Actinomycetes. The record is from RNAcentral.